GACAGCAGCGCCACGGGAAUACGUAGGGUGCAAGCGUUAAUCGGAAUUACUGGGCGUAAAGCGUGCGCAGGCGGUUAUAUAAGACAGAUGUGAAAUCCCCGGGCUCAACCUGGGAACUGCAUUUGUGACUGUAUAGCUAGAGUACGGCAGAGGGGGAUGGAAUUCCGCGUGUAGCAGUGAAAUGCGUAGAUAUGCGGAGGAACACCGAUGGCGAAGGCAAUCCCCUGGGCCUGUACUGACGCUCAUGCACGAAAGCGUGGGGAGCAAACAGGAUUAGAUACCCCAGUAGUCCCUGUCUCUUAUACA
Molecule: ribosomal RNA, 306 nt
Filed under: uncultured bacterium
Lineage: Bacteria
Description: partial 16S ribosomal RNA
Rfam family: Bacterial small subunit ribosomal RNA
Source: RNAcentral